This 253-nucleotide ribosomal RNA is filed under the name uncultured bacterium. Its description in RNAcentral is "partial 16S ribosomal RNA". It matches the Rfam family "Bacterial small subunit ribosomal RNA", at positions 524 to 776 of the family's 1533-position model. The record is from RNAcentral.
UACGAAGGGGGCUAGCGUUGCUCGGAAUCACUGGGCGUAAAGCGCACGUAGGCGGCUUUCUAAGUCAGGGGUGAAAUCCUGGAGCUCAACUCCAGAACUGCCUUUGAUACUGGGAAGCUUGAGUCCGGAAGAGGUGAGUGGAACUGCGAGUGUAGAGGUGAAAUUCGUAGAUAUUCGCAAGAACACCAGUGGCGAAGGCGGCUCACUGGCCCGAUACUGACGCUGAGGUGCGAAAGCGUGGGGAGCAAACAGG